UACGAAGGGGGCUAGCGUUGUUCGGAAUUACUGGGCGUAAAGCGCACGUAGGCGGUCUUUUAAGUCAGGGGUGAAAUCCCGGGGCUCAACCUCGGAACUGCCUUUGAUACUGGAAGUCUUGAGUAUGGAAGAGGUAAGUGGAAUUGCGAGUGUAGAGGUGAAAUUCGUAGAUAUUCGCAGGAACACCAGUGGCGAAGGCGGCUUACUGGUCCAUUACUGACGCUGAGGUGCGAAAGCGUGGGGAGCAAACAGG
RNAcentral lists this ribosomal RNA (253 nucleotides) under uncultured bacterium. RNAcentral describes it as "partial 16S ribosomal RNA". It matches the Rfam family "Bacterial small subunit ribosomal RNA", at positions 524 to 776 of the family's 1533-position model. The record is from RNAcentral.